Schistosoma margrebowiei is the source of this 46-nucleotide non-coding RNA. The record is from Rfam. NCBI's taxonomy places the organism in Eukaryota, Metazoa, Platyhelminthes, Trematoda, Strigeidida, Schistosomatidae.
GCAUUGCUGAGGAGUUCCACAAUAGGACGAAAUGGCCGUCCAGUGC